GAUGAAGAACGUAGCGAAAUGCGAUAAGUAAUGUGAAUUGCAGAACUCAGUGAAUCAUCGAAUCUUUGAACGCACAUUGCGCCCCCUGGUAUUCCGGGGGGCAUGCCUGUUCGAGCGUCAUUUCACCACUCAAGCCUCGCUUGGUAUUGGGCAACGCGGUCCGCCGCGUGCCUCAAAUCGACCGGCUGGGUCUUCUGUCCCCUAAGCGUUGUGGAAACUUUCGCUAAAGGGUGUUCGGGAGGCUACGCCGUAAAACAACCCCAUUUCUAAGGUUGACCUCGGAUCAGGUAGGGAUACCCGCUGAACUUAAGCAUAUCAAUAAGCGGAGGA
RNAcentral lists this unclassified non-coding RNA (330 nucleotides) under soil metagenome. RNAcentral describes it as "partial contains 5.8S ribosomal RNA, internal transcribed spacer 2, and large subunit ribosomal RNA". The stretch from base 1 to 120 matches the Rfam family "5.8S ribosomal RNA", at positions 35 to 154 of the family's 154-position model. The record is from RNAcentral.